UAUGUCCCUAGAGGCAUCAGGUGUGGAUGCUAUGUCACAUGUGCAUGGGUAGGUGGCAGAGAGGAGAGAGGCUAUGUCUACACUCAGUGUUCUGAUCUGUGAACAUCUGAAAGAUUAGUAGCCUAACCAU
Molecule: small nucleolar RNA, 130 nt
Organism: Mastomys coucha (southern multimammate mouse)
Lineage: Eukaryota; Metazoa; Chordata; Mammalia; Rodentia; Muridae
Product: small nucleolar RNA SNORA17
Exons: 1
Source: RefSeq, a predicted model, not a curated record